RNAcentral lists this ribosomal RNA (230 nucleotides) under uncultured bacterium. Its description in RNAcentral is "partial 16S ribosomal RNA". It matches the Rfam family "Bacterial small subunit ribosomal RNA", at positions 15 to 235 of the family's 1533-position model. The record is from RNAcentral.
GAUCAUGGCUCAGGAUGAACGCUAGCGACAGGCCUAACACAUGCAAGUCGAGGGGCAACGAUGGUAUCAGCUUGCUGAUACCGAUGGCGACCGGCGCACGGGUGAGUAACGCGUAUGGUAAUCUACCUGUAACAGAGGGAUAACCCGGAGAAAUCCGGACUAAUACCUCAUAGCACAUAUUAUUCGCAUGAAUUUUAUGUUAAAGAGACUCGGUUACAGAUGAACAUGCG